CACAGCCAAUGAAAGCAAAGUGAAAACUGCUUUCCUACUUUUUAAUAUCUUGAUUUUUCUCAUCUCAGCUAGUGUCCUGGCUCUUACAAAACUGCCUUGCUCCCUUAGUAGCUUUCCAAAGACAAAGAGGAAGCUAAAGCCAAGUGGUGUUGAAAUGACAGGGGUGGCUGCAGUGAGAAUCCACGCAAACGAGACACACGAAGAUAAAGGUGACUUAAUUUUGGAAGCAAAUGAGAUCAAGAAAAUCAAUGUGUCAAAUUUGUGGGCAGUUCAGCUUCCUGUACACGCACAGAGGAAAACUGGUGACAAAUUCACAUUUCUGGAAGCAGAAAACACUGACAGACUGCCCACCUUUGAAGACUGGCCCACGUAAGAUGUCUCUGCUGUACAAGCACUAAGAAAAUCCUUCU
This is a long non-coding RNA of Fukomys damarensis (Damara mole-rat), 410 nucleotides long. RefSeq lists it as uncharacterized. The transcript is spliced from 3 exons. NCBI's taxonomy places the organism in Eukaryota, Metazoa, Chordata, Mammalia, Rodentia, Bathyergidae. The record is from RefSeq and is a predicted model, not a curated record.